This 420-nucleotide ribosomal RNA is filed under the name Fusobacteriota bacterium. Its description in RNAcentral is "Fusobacteria bacterium partial 16S ribosomal RNA". It matches the Rfam family "Bacterial small subunit ribosomal RNA", at positions 355 to 776 of the family's 1533-position model. Lineage: Bacteria; Fusobacteriati; Fusobacteriota. The record is from RNAcentral.
UGGGGGAUAUUGCACAAUGGGCGAAAGCCUGAUGCAGCGACGCCGCGUGGGGGAUGAAGGCCUUCGGGUUGUAAACUUCUUUUGCUCUGAACAAGGCAUGCCUUUGGGGUGUGUUGAGUGUAGGGGUUGAUUAGCGCCGGCUAACUACGUGCCAGCAGCCGCGGUAAUACGUAGGGCGCGAGCGUUGUCCGGAAUUAUUGGGCGUAAAGGGCUUGUAGGUGGCUGGUUGCGUCUGUCGUGAAAGCUCAUGGCUUAACUGUGGGUUUGCGGUGGGUACGGGCUGGCUUGAGUGCAGUAGGGGAGGCUGGAAUUCCUGGUGUAGCGGUGGAAUGCACAGAUAUCAGGAGGAAUACCGGUGGCGAAGGCGGGUCUCUGGGCUGUUACUGACGCUGAGGAGCGAAAGCGUGGGGAGCGAACAGG